Molecule: ribosomal RNA, 253 nt
Filed under: uncultured bacterium
Lineage: Bacteria
Description: partial 16S ribosomal RNA
Rfam family: Bacterial small subunit ribosomal RNA
Source: RNAcentral
GACAGAGGGUGCAAACGUUGUUCGGAAUUACUGGGCGUAAAGCGUGCGCAGGCGGUUUUGUAAGCCAGAUGUGAAAGCCCCGGGCUCAACCUGGGAAUGGCAUUUGGGACUGCAAGGCUUGAGUGCGGCAGAGGAGACUGGAAUUCCUGGUGUAGCAGUGAAAUGCGUAGAUAUCAGGAGGAAUACCGAUGGCGAAGGCAGGUCUCUGGGCUGACACUGACGCUCAUGCACGAAAGCGUGGGGAGCAAACAGG